GAUGAAGAACGUAGUGAAAUGCGAUAAGUAAUGUGAAUUGCAGAUUUCAGUGAAUCAUCGAAUCUUUGAACGCACCUUGCGCCUUGUGGUAUUCCACAAGGCAUGCCCGUUUGAGUAUCAUUAAAUCAUCAACUCUAAAACCUUUGUGGUUUUUUUUAGAGCUUGGUCUUGAGGGUUUUGCAGGCUUUUUUUUUUUUUUCGAUUCUGCUCCCUUUAAAUGCAUUAGCGAGACUUCCAUAUGCUGAACCGUCUCUUUGACGUGAUAAUUAUCUGCGUCGAAUUUUGGUUCUCGUUGGGCUUGCUUCUAAUCGUCUGUUAAAGACAAAACGGAUUUCGGUGCAUAUAUGCGCCUUUUUCCAAAACCUUUUUUUGAUCUCAAAUCGGGUAGGACUACCCGCUGAACUUAAGCAUAUCAAUAAGCGGAGGA
This 427-nucleotide unclassified non-coding RNA is filed under the name soil metagenome. Its description in RNAcentral is "partial contains 5.8S ribosomal RNA, internal transcribed spacer 2, and large subunit ribosomal RNA". The stretch from base 1 to 120 matches the Rfam family "5.8S ribosomal RNA", at positions 35 to 154 of the family's 154-position model. The record is from RNAcentral.